RNAcentral lists this ribosomal RNA (1487 nucleotides) under Microbacterium sp. Its description in RNAcentral is "bacterial SSU rRNA". It matches the Rfam family "Bacterial small subunit ribosomal RNA". The record is from RNAcentral. Lineage: Bacteria; Bacillati; Actinomycetota; Actinomycetes; Micrococcales; Microbacteriaceae.
AGAGUUUGAUCCUGGCUCAGGAUGAACGCUGGCGGCGUGCUUAACACAUGCAAGUCGAACGGUGAAGCCCAGCUUGCUGGGUGGAUCAGUGGCGAACGGGUGAGUAACACGUGAGCAACCUGCCCCUGACUCUGGGAUAAGCGCUGGAAACGGCGUCUAAUACUGGAUACGAGACGUGACCGCAUGGUCAACGUUUGGAAAGAUUUUUCGGUUGGGGAUGGGCUCGCGGCCUAUCAGCUUGUUGGUGAGGUAAUGGCUCACCAAGGCGUCGACGGGUAGCCGGCCUGAGAGGGUGACCGGCCACACUGGGACUGAGACACGGCCCAGACUCCUACGGGAGGCAGCAGUGGGGAAUAUUGCACAAUGGGCGGAAGCCUGAUGCAGCAACGCCGCGUGAGGGAUGACGGCCUUCGGGUUGUAAACCUCUUUUAGCAGGGAAGAAGCGAAAGUGACGGUACCUGCAGAAAAAGCGCCGGCUAACUACGUGCCAGCAGCCGCGGUAAUACGUAGGGCGCAAGCGUUAUCCGGAAUUAUUGGGCGUAAAGAGCUCGUAGGCGGUUUGUCGCGUCUGCUGUGAAAUCUGGGGGCUCAACCCCCAGCCUGCAGUGGGUACGGGCAGACUAGAGUGCGGUAGGGGAGAUUGGAAUUCCUGGUGUAGCGGUGGAAUGCGCAGAUAUCAGGAGGAACACCGAUGGCGAAGGCAGAUCUCUGGGCCGUAACUGACGCUGAGGAGCGAAAGGGUGGGGAGCAAACAGGCUUAGAUACCCUGGUAGUCCACCCCGUAAACGUUGGGAACUAGUUGUGGGGUCCAUUCCACGGAUUCCGUGACGCAGCUAACGCAUUAAGUUCCCCGCCUGGGGAGUACGGCCGCAAGGCUAAAACUCAAAGGAAUUGACGGGGACCCGCACAAGCGGCGGAGCAUGCGGAUUAAUUCGAUGCAACGCGAAGAACCUUACCAAGGCUUGACAUAUACGAGAACGGGCCAGAAAUGGUCAACUCUUUGGACACUCGUAAACAGGUGGUGCAUGGUUGUCGUCAGCUCGUGUCGUGAGAUGUUGAGUUAAGUCCCGCAACGAGCGCAACCCUCGUUCUAUGUUGCCAGCACGUAAUGGUGGGAACUCAUGGGAUACUGCCGGGGUCAACUCGGAGGAAGGUGGGGAUGACGUCAAAUCAUCAUGCCCCUUAUGUCUUGGGCUUCACGCAUGCUACAAUGGCCGGUACAAAGGGCUGCAAUACCGCGAGGUGGAGCGAAUCCCAAAAAGCCGGUCCCAGUUCGGAUUGAGGUCUGCAACUCGACCUCAUGAAGUCGGAGUCGCUAGUAAUCGCAGAUCAGCAACGCUGCGGUGAAUACGUUCCCGGGUCUUGUACACACCGCCCGUCAAGUCAUGAAAGUCGGUAACACCUGAAGCCGGUGGCCUAACCCUUGUGGAGGGAGCCGUCGAAGGUGGGAUCGGUAAUUAGGACUAAGUCGUAACAAGGUAGCCGUA